RNAcentral lists this ribosomal RNA (460 nucleotides) under uncultured bacterium. Its description in RNAcentral is "partial 16S ribosomal RNA". It matches the Rfam family "Bacterial small subunit ribosomal RNA", at positions 338 to 795 of the family's 1533-position model. The record is from RNAcentral.
CCUACGGGUGGCAGCAGUGAGGAAUAUUGGUCAAUGGGCGCGAGCCUGAACCAGCCAAGUAGCGUGAAGGAGGACUGCCCUACGGGUGGUAAACUUCGUUUAUAAAGGAAUAAAGUGAGGCACGUGUGCCUUUUUGUAUGUACUUUAUGAAUAAGGAUCGGCUAACUCCGUGCCAGCAGCCGCGGUAAUACGGAGGAUCCGAGCGUUAUCCGGAUUGAUUGGGUUUACAGGGAGCGUAGAUGGGUUGUUAAGUCAGUUGUGAAAGUUUGCGGCUCAAUCUUAAAAUUGCAAUUGAUACUGGCAGCCUUGAGUACAGUUGAGGUAGGCGGAAUUCGUGUUGUAGCGGUGAAAUGCUUAGAUAUCACGAAGAACUCCGAUUGCGAAGGCAGCUUACUAAACUGCCACUGACAUUGAUGCUCGAAAGUGUGGGUAUCAAACAGGAUUAGAUACCCCAGUAGUC